RNAcentral lists this long non-coding RNA (1800 nucleotides) under Homo sapiens (human). Its description in RNAcentral is "HSALNT0183238". The record is from RNAcentral. Lineage: Eukaryota; Metazoa; Chordata; Mammalia; Primates; Hominidae.
GAGGGAUGCUGGGUUGGGUCCUGGAGCUCCCUCUGCGAGAGAAGUUAAGAAAGUUUACAGCUUUGUCUUGAGACAUUUGCUGAAGUCAUGUUUCAAGAGGCAAAUCACAUCUGCUGCAACAUGAACCGACCACCAGGCAGUAAGAUGCACAGGUUCUCAGGCUCUGAGACCCUAUGGGAAAUUGCCUAUAGGGCCCCACAGCCUGGGAAACUGGCCUAGAGGUUUUAUGAAGUGACUAAUAUCCUACAGGGAACAGCCGGGUCCCAGGACUUGCAUCAUGGUCAGCAGACCGGCCCCUCUCUGAGCAACACCCUUGGGAUUAUUCACGUCCAUCUGGAAGAAACUAGUCUCUGAGUUUGAUUCAGGACUUCUUUCUCUUUCCCACCUCUUACCCCAGCCAUGUAAUUUGCACAUCGUUUUAUAUUUUCUAUUGGGAAAUCACAAAGCAUCUAAAAGGCAAGCAGUGGUUCUCAAGCUGCAGCCAAAGAAACACCAGAGGCUUUCGCACAAUCCCUUUUUCCUGAAGCCAACUCUGCUGAGGAUGUGAUGUGGAUACGGAUGUCCGGGAAGCUGGUGUCGGUGGCGGGCUGUGUUCUCAGGCCCAGGGACGCUGUGGCAGGGACUGGAUGGGAAUGCAGCAGGGCCGUGUAUUAGCUGUGCAGCCUUGGGAAAAGGAACUCACAGGACAGUCAUCUCGGAAUUCACACGGCCACAGCUGAACGCCUGGUCUCCGCCACACAGCGGCUCAUUACAGUCCUCUCCUGCUCUGCAAUUUCCCUUCCAGGCUCCCAGUUUCUGAGGCCAACGCCCCUGCGGUGGUGCUCCACACCUCUCUGUUUCUCACAACUCACAUUCGUCAGCGAAGCCUGUUGGAUCUGCUUACAACUCUCUGGGGCAGCCAGCGGCUUCUGGCUCCUCAUGGCCCCCCUGCCAGGAUGAGCCCCGGCUCUGCCUCCCUGGGAGUUCUGCAGUGGCUCUGUCGCCCUUCUCAAUACCUUCUUGAUGCUAUUCCUGCUUUCCUGUCAGCUGCGUGUCCUCCAAAGAAGCCAGAGCAGAGAGACCAUGAUUCUCUUCUUUCCUCCCCGUCUUCAAAUCUUUUCUCAAAUACCAGCUCUUCAAUAUGCCUGCCUUGACCACUCUGUGAGGUGGCAGCAUGCUCCUCCGCCCCUCCCAACUCCCAUCUGCCCAACUCCAGGACCCUACUCAAUGCCCAUUGCAGUUUCUUUUGCUCAUGGUUUGUCGUCUGUCUUCCCUCACCAGGUCGCAAGCUCUACUUUGAGUCUCAAGAGCCUUGUGACACAUGGCAGGUGCUCUGGAGUGGACACAGCACUGCCACUUUUGACAGCUGUCCCCUUUGUCACCCUCAGGUUGUGACCCAAAUGUCCCUUCCUCAAGGACGGUCCUGGGCAGAGCCGGCCCCCCCUCUGCCACCCUACUGCUCUGUCCCAGCACCAUCUUUCAGAGGUCGUCAUCAGCACUUGUGAAUGCACAUUUGCCUCAUGCUCACGUGUUUAUUGUCCGUCUCCUACACCCGCACCCCCAGUCACAGUGUUUACUUCAUUCUCUAGGGUCUUCCUAGUGCUUGGCAUAGACCUGCACGGAAUAGACAUGAAUUAAGUAAAUAUUUGUUCACUAACUGGGAAGCACUUUAUAUAUACUCUUGUAUUUGAUGAUCACAGCCAUCCUGUAAAAUGAGUAUUAUUUAAAUGCCUAUUUUUGUAGCUAUUGUUGUUGUUGAAAGAAUCUGAGGCUCAGAGAGGCUGAGCAAUUUCCCCUUAGACACAAAGCGAGGUGGAGGAG